Molecule: ribosomal RNA, 1173 nt
Filed under: Clostridioides difficile
Lineage: Bacteria; Bacillati; Bacillota; Clostridia; Peptostreptococcales; Peptostreptococcaceae
Description: partial 23S ribosomal RNA
Rfam family: Bacterial large subunit ribosomal RNA
Source: RNAcentral
UGAGGCAGUCAAAGUAGGCAAAUCCGCUUUGAUAAUGCUGGGAUGUGAUGGGGAGCGAAAUUUAGUAGCGAAGUAGCUGAUUUCACACUGUCAAGAAAAGUCUCUAUCGAGGUUAAAGGUACCCGUACCGCAAACCGACACAGGUGGGUGAGGAGAGUAUCCUAAGGCCAGCGAGAGAACUGUUGUUAAGGAACUCGGCAAAAUGACCCCGUAACUUAGGGAUAAGGGGUGCCACCAUCAGGUGGCCGCAGAGAAUAGGCCCAAGCGACUGUUUACCAAAAACAUAGGUUUCUGCUAAGUCGCAAGACGAUGUAUAGGAGCUGACGCCUGCCCGGUGCUGGAAGGUUAAGGGGAUCUGUUAGAGCAAUCGAAGCAGUGAACUUAAGCCCCAGUAAACGGCGGCCGUAACUAUAACGGUCCUAAGGUAGCGAAAUUCCUUGUCGGGUAAGUUCCGACCCGCACGAAAGGCGUAACGAUUUGGGCACUGUCUCAACAACAGACUCGGUGAAAUUGUAAUUCCGGUGAAGAUGCCGGAUACCUGCGACAGGACGGAAAGACCCCAUGGAGCUUUACUGUAGCUUGACAUUGGGUCUUGGUACUACAUGUACAGGAUAGGUGGGAGGCUUUGAAACCAGGACGCCAGUUUUGGCGGAGCCAUCCUUGGGAUACCACCCUUGUAGUACUGGGACUCUAACCAUAGGCCAUGAAUCUGGUCUUGGGACACUGUCAGGUGGGCAGUUUGACUGGGGCGGUCGCCUCCCAAAAGGUAACGGAGGCGCUCAAAGGUUCUCUCAGUACGGUCGGAAAUCGUACGUAGAGUGUAAAGGCAAAAGAGAGCUUGAUUGCAAGACAUACAGGUCGAGCAAGGAUGAAAAUCGGACUUAGUGAUCCGGUGGUUCUGCGUGGAAGGGCCAUCGCUCAACGGAUAAAAGCUACCCUGGGGAUAACAGGCUUAUCUCCCCCAAGAGUCCACAUCGACGGGGAGGUUUGGCACCUCGAUGUCGGCUCAUCACAUCCUGGGGCUGUAGUAGGUCCCAAGGGUUGGGCUGUUCGCCCAUUAAAGUGGUACGCGAGCUGGGUUCAGAACGUCGUGAGACAGUUCGGUCCCUAUCCGUCGCAGGCGUAGGAAAUUUGAGAAGACCUGUCCUUAGUACGAGAGGACCGGGAUGGACG